ACUACAUCCUAGGUCCCGUUUUAGCAAGAUGUGGCUGGAAUUGUUCCUUGGUGAUGUCGCUCGGAUGACCACGUCUGCAUCCAGCAGCUUCUAGUCCACAGUUGAUUAAAAAAAGCAAGAGGCACCACCAAAUCCCCACCGAUGUCACCACCCACUGCGUGCCCCUUCUUAUCCACAACACGUCGCCAUUCCUCAUCACCCAAGCGCCGCUCCGCCUCCAUCUUCCUCCUGCUGCCUGACCACCCAUCGUUGCUCCUCCUCCUCUUCUCCUCUUCUCCAUCCGCCUCACACCCAAGUGUUGCUUUCCUGUUCUUGGCCGCGGUGGCUGGCCUGAGCCACAUCCCAGCUGACAGCGUCGGCGUGCUUUCUGGCUACGGCUGGGGCGUUGGUGGCCUGCUCAUCGGCGCACUCGGGCCGGGGCGGAGCCCCCUUCCUUGCAGUGGUGAUGGAGCCCCUCCUCCCAGAGGGUGGCUGGGGGCAACCGAGGUUGCGGGGCAGGUGUGCAGUGGCUCGGUUGCGCCAGAUCUGGCGGCUGGCCAGCACGCGCGGGGGGCGGUCUGGUGGUGGUGUUCGUCUGCCGGUGGCCACGGAUGUGGGAGUGCCGAAGCUGCCUCCGGUGAAAGCCCCUGGGCCCCGGUUUUCUCUUCCAUGAGCUGGUCUCUGUAUCAGCAAUGGGCAUCAAUUUUCUCUAUAUCUUUAGUUCGGCUCUCUCUCCUUCUUUAGGAUUAUUAGCUCAAAUGGCAAUUAAGACAUUUCUUUCUAUUAGGCUCGGUGCUUUUCUUUGGAUUCAUGUGCAUCUCCUCUUUGCUCAUUUUCAAUUGGUGACGCAUAUAGUAGAUGCGGCAGGCAGCUUUCUUGAUUUUUCUCUAGGGUAAACAUGAACAUCUCAUCCGCUUUUUGUUGGCUUGUUGAUCUUGUAAUGCAUGAAAUAAGUUGGUUGGAUUUUAUGUAAUAGAGCAGGUAGGACUAUUAAUUGGAAUCUGAAAUUUUAGCACAGGCACAAGACUUGGUUCCUAAGGCAGGAAGAGGAGGAGCUCGGGCGCGCUGGUGAGAGGAGCCGAAGUGGAACGGUGGUGCCGGGUGAUGCGGUCGCCGGCGUCGGCCGGCAGCGGAUUGAGCAUCACGUGGGCCGCGAGCUUCUUUGUAAACCACAGGGGCUUCUUUGUAAAAAAGCGUGACGGACAACAGAAAUCCAACCAUCCGGAGCUGUCGCCGCCGCGAAGAGCGCCGCCCCACCACGCCGGAAAGGAAGCAUGUGGAUAAGAUAGAACAAAGGGUCGCGGACCGAAUUCUUACAAACGUAGGGUUCUUUUUUGUAAAAAUGAAUCGUUAUCUCAGAUCCACUUAAACAGGGACUGCGGGUUGAAUUCUCACAAGCAGAGGGGCUUUUCUGGAAAAGUGCCAACGACGGACGGGCAGAAGCACUCCGUGCUUUAUUAGUAGGG
Molecule: ribosomal RNA, 1445 nt
Filed under: Triticum aestivum (bread wheat)
Lineage: Eukaryota; Viridiplantae; Streptophyta; Magnoliopsida; Poales; Poaceae
Description: partial small subunit ribosomal RNA
Source: RNAcentral